UACGAAGGGGGCUAGCGUUGCUCGGAAUCACUGGGCGUAAAGCGCACGUAGGCGGAUUGCUAAGUCAGGGGUGAAAUCCUGGAGCUCAACUCCAGAACUGCCUUUGAUACUGGCGACCUUGAGUCCGAGAGAGGUGAGUGGAACUGCGAGUGUAGAGGUGAAAUUCGUAGAUAUUCGCAAGAACACCAGUGGCGAAGGCGGCUCACUGGCCCGGUACUGACGCUGAGGUGCGAAAGCGUGGGGAGCAAACAGG
This 253-nucleotide ribosomal RNA is filed under the name uncultured bacterium. RNAcentral's name for it is "partial 16S ribosomal RNA". It matches the Rfam family "Bacterial small subunit ribosomal RNA", at positions 524 to 776 of the family's 1533-position model. The record is from RNAcentral.